AUACGUAGGGGGCGAGCGUUGUCCGGAAUGACUGGGCGUAAAGGGCGUGUAGGCGGCCUGAUAAGUCUGGAGUGAAAGUCCUGCUUUCAAGGUGGGAAUUGCUUUGGAGACUGUCGGGCUUGAGUGCGGAAGAGGUAAGUGGAAUUCCCAGUGUAGCGGUGAAAUGCGUAGAGAUUGGGAGGAACACCAGUGGCGAAGGCGGAGUACCGGGCCGUAACUGACGCGGAGGCGCGAAAGCGUGGGGAGCGAACAGGAAUAGAUACCCCGGUAGUCCACGCGGGAAAAGAUGAAUGCUAGGGGGAGGGGGUAUCGACCCCGCCUGUGCCGGAGUAAACACAAUAGCAAUCCGCCUGGGGAGUUAGGGCGCAAGGUUGAAACUCAAAGGAAUUGACGGGG
This 396-nucleotide ribosomal RNA is filed under the name uncultured bacterium. RNAcentral describes it as "partial 16S ribosomal RNA". It matches the Rfam family "Bacterial small subunit ribosomal RNA", at positions 523 to 918 of the family's 1533-position model. The record is from RNAcentral.